AACGGCGAGUGAAGCGGCAACAGCUCAAAUUUGAAAUCUGGCCUCGGCCCGAGUUGUAAUUUGCAGAGGAUGCUUCCGGCGACGUGCCUUCCGAGUCCCCUGGAACGGGGCGCCUGAGAGGGUGAGAGCCCCGUACGGCUGGACGCCGAGCCUGUGUGAAGCUCCUUCGACGAGUCGAGUAGUUUGGGAAUGCUGCUCUAAAUGGGAGGUAAAUUCCUUCUAAAGCUAAAUACCGGCCAGAGACCGAUAGCGCACAAGUAGAGUGAUCGAAAGAUGAAAAGCACUUUGGAAAGAGGGUUAAACAGUACGUGAAAUUGCUGAAAGGGAAGCGCUCGCGACCAGACUCGCGCCGGGCGGAUCAUCCAGCGUUCUCGCUGGUGCACUUCGCCCGGCCCGGGCCAGCAUCGGUUCUAGCGGGGGGACAAAAGCCCGGGAAACGUAGCUCCCUCCGGGGAGUGUUAUAGUCCCUCGCCUAAUAUCCCCGCCGGGACCGAGGACCGCGCCUCGUGCAAGGAUGCUGGCGUAAUGGUCGCCAGCGACCCGUCUUGAAACACGGACCAAGGAGUCGAACAUUCGUGCGAGUGUUUGGGUGGAAACCCCUCACGCGUAAUGAAAGUGAACGGAGGUGGGAGCUUCGGCGCACCAUCGACCGAUCCUGAAGCUUGUCGGAUGGAUUUGAGUGGGAGCAUGACUGUUCGGACCCGAAAGAUGGUGAACUAUGCCUGCGUAGGGUGAAGCCAGAGGAAACUCUGGUGGAGGCUCGCAGCGGUUCUGACGUGCAAAUCGAUCGUCAAACGUGGGCAUGGGGGCGAAAGACUAAUCGAACCAUCUAGU
This 834-nucleotide ribosomal RNA is filed under the name Lulworthiales sp. MV-2012. Its description in RNAcentral is "partial 28S ribosomal RNA". It matches the Rfam family "Eukaryotic large subunit ribosomal RNA", at positions 85 to 948 of the family's 3401-position model. The record is from RNAcentral. Lineage: Eukaryota; Fungi; Ascomycota; Sordariomycetes; Lulworthiales.